AGGACGAACGCUGGCGGCGUGCUUAACACAUGCAAGUCGAACGGAGUUACGUAUGAAGUAUUUCGGUACGGACUAUGUAACUUAGUGGCGAACGGGUGAGUAACACGUGGGCAACCUGCCCUUAACCGGGGGAUAACAUUGUGAAAACAGUGCUAAUACCGCAUAACAGAGUAUCGGGCAUCCGAUAUUUUAAAAGGAGCAAUCCGGUUUAGGAUGGGCCCGCGUCCAAUUAGCUAGUUGGUGAGGUAACGGCUCACCAAGGCUACGAUUGGUAGCCGAACUGAGAGGUUGAUCGGCCACAUUGGGACUGAGACACGGCCCAGACUCCUACGGGAGGCAGCAGUGGGGAAUAUUGGGCAAUGGGCGAAAGCCUGACCCAGCGACGCCGCGUGAAGGAUGAAGGUCUUCGGAUUGUAAACUUCUUUGAUCAGGGAAGAAAGAAAUGACGGUACCUGAAGAACAAGCCACGGCUAACUACGUG
Molecule: ribosomal RNA, 481 nt
Filed under: uncultured bacterium
Lineage: Bacteria
Description: bacterial SSU rRNA
Rfam family: Bacterial small subunit ribosomal RNA
Source: RNAcentral